This 1372-nucleotide ribosomal RNA is filed under the name uncultured bacterium. RNAcentral's name for it is "bacterial SSU rRNA". It matches the Rfam family "Bacterial small subunit ribosomal RNA", at positions 28 to 1381 of the family's 1533-position model. The record is from RNAcentral.
GAUAAACGCUGGCGGCGUGCCUAAUACAUGCAAGUCGAGCGAACGGACGAGAAGCUUGCUUCUCUGAUGUUAGCGGCGGACGGGUGAGUAACACGUGGAUAACCUACCUAUAAGACUGGGAUAACUUCGGGAAACCGGAGCUAAUACCGGAUAAUAUUUUGAACCGCAUGGUUCAAAAGUGAAAGACGGUCUUGCUGUCACUUAUAGAUGGAUCCGCGCUGCAUUAGCUAGUUGGUAAGGUAACGGCUUACCAAGGCAACGAUGCAUAGCCGACCUGAGAGGGUGAUCGGCCACACUGGAACUGAGACACGGUCCAGACUCCUACGGGAGGCAGCAGUAGGGAAUCUUCCGCAAUGGGCGAAAGCCUGACGGAGCAACGCCGCGUGAGUGAUGAAGGUCUUCGGAUCGUAAAACUCUGUUAUUAGGGAAGAACAUAUGUGUAAGUAACUGUGCACAUCUUGACGGUACCUAAUCAGAAAGCCACGGCUAACUACGUGCCAGCAGCCGCGGUAAUACGUAGGUGGCAAGCGUUAUCCGGAAUUAUUGGGCGUAAAGCGCGCGUAGGCGGUUUUUUAAGUCUGAUGUGAAAGCCCACGGCUCAACCGUGGAGGGUCAUUGGAAACUGGAAAACUUGAGUGCAGAAGAGGAAAGUGGAAUUCCAUGUGUAGCGGUGAAAUGCGCAGAGAUAUGGAGGAACACCAGAGGCGAAGGCGACUUUCUGGUCUGUAACUGACGCUGAUGUGCGAAAGCGUGGGGAUCAAACAGGAUUAGAUACCCUGGUAGUCCACGCCGUAAACGAUGAGUGCUAAGUGUUAGGGGGUUUCCGCCCCUUAGUGCUGCAGCUAACGCAUUAAGCACUCCGCCUGGGGAGUACGACCGCAAGGUUGAAACUCAAAGGAAUUGACGGGGACCCGCACAAGCGGUGGAGCAUGUGGUUUAAUUCGAAGCAACGCGAAGAACCUUACCAAAUCUUGACAUCCUUUGACAACUCUAGAGAUAGAGCCUUCCCCUUCGGGGGACAAAGUGACAGGUGGUGCAUGGUUGUCGUCAGCUCGUGUCGUGAGAUGUUGGGUUAAGUCCCGCAACGAGCGCAACCCUUAAGCUUAGUUGCCAUCAUUAAGUUGGGCACUCUAAGUUGACUGCCGGUGACAAACCGGAGGAAGGUGGGGAUGACGUCAAAUCAUCAUGCCCCUUAUGAUUUGGGCUACACACGUGCUACAAUGGACAAUACAAAGGGCAGCGAAACCGCGAGGUCAAGCAAAUCCCAUAAAGUUGUUCUCAGUUCGGAUUGUAGUCUGCAACUCGACUACAUGAAGCUGGAAUCGCUAGUAAUCGUAGAUCAGCAUGCUACGGUGAAUACGUUCCCGGGUCU